Entelurus aequoreus (snake pipefish) is the source of this 653-nucleotide long non-coding RNA. RefSeq lists it as uncharacterized. The transcript is spliced from 3 exons. Lineage: Eukaryota; Metazoa; Chordata; Actinopteri; Syngnathiformes; Syngnathidae. The record is from RefSeq and is a predicted model, not a curated record.
UCCGCCCGUGCGUCUCUACGCACACUUGAUUGAGCCUUCGCCAUCACUGCGCAGGCAAGCUACAGUUAUAAGUGGCAGGGAUGGAAGAAAAGGGCCAGGCCGCCUGAGGUUAUGAGGACUGAAAAAGGCUACUUCCUGGUUCAUGGAGGAUGACCCGCCAGAUGGGCACUUUUUAAGUGUACCAUUCCACCGAGGCCAUGGCGACGUUAAAGGGACUGUUGGCUCAAAGGGUUGGAGCCGGACUGGACAUCUCCGGGGAGUUGGGGCCCCGACCGGGGAGCACAAAUGGCAGCAGAGUGUACGAUUACACCACCACCAUGGCUGAAACAAACCGUACAGUAGAAAAGCAGUUGUAGUGUUCUUCCCAUGCGUUCAGGAAUUACUGACUCUUGAAAGUAUUCACAGCACUUCACUUUUCCCACAUUUUGUUAUGUUAAAGCCUAAAAUUCUACAUACCCCAUAAUGACAAUGUGAAUAGUUUUUAGAAUUUAUUAAAAAUAAAAAAUCACAUGUACAAACCCCGUUUCCGUAUGAGGUGGGAAAUUGUGUUAUAUGUAAAUAUAAACGGAAUACAAUGAUUUGCAAAUAAUUUUCAACCCAUAUUCAGUUGAAUAUGCUACAAAGACAACAUAUUUCAUGUUCAAACUGAUAAA